AUCAUGAGUCCCUGUAUCUGCAUCCAGACUGACAGCGCUGUCUUUGCCUCCUGUCAACAGCUGCUGAGUCAAAGAUUGAAGCUGAUAAAAGCCUACCAGCAAGUAACGUUGGCAGCCUACCUUAACAACUCUGAUGAGCAACGACAUAUGGAGUCCGAUUGCUGCAGAGGACAGAGAUGAGAUGAGAGAAGCACGAGGAGCAGCCAUGUGCUCUACAGAAGCAGAGAAAUGCCUUUGACAAGGAUACAGCUGCAUCAUAGUAUGGCGGUGGCAUAACACGAUGCUGCAUCUCAGCGCUUUUGAACGACUCAGCAGCUCGACAUCCUUCGGGCCAGACAACUACCAGAGUCCUGAUGGCAUAGCUUAGACUUGUAGCAGCUAAGUGCCAUAAUCUCACAGCGCAAGUAGCUUGCUGACAAAGCAGACAGACAAACGUGUUGGAGCCGUGUUAACAGUUUACCUAUUUCAGCUGCGCAGCUCGAGAUGGCUGCGCACCACUGCAGUAAAACCUUAGGGAACAUCGAUCUGCCCUUUUGCACAAAGCUCGUUUUACCCAGAUGAAUGUUCCUGCUGCCUCCGCUGUGUCUUUGGGAGAAAAACGGUGAAAUAAAUAC
Oreochromis aureus is the source of this 614-nucleotide long non-coding RNA. NCBI's taxonomy places the organism in Eukaryota, Metazoa, Chordata, Actinopteri, Cichliformes, Cichlidae. The record is from Ensembl.